GAUGAACGCUGGCGGCGUGCCUAAUACAUGCAAGUCGAGCGAACAGAUGAGGAGCUUGCUCCUCUGACGUUAGCGGCGGACGGGUGAGUAACACGUGGAUAACCUACCUAUAAGACUGGGAUAACUUCGGGAAACCGGAGCUAAUACCGGAUAAUAUAUUGAACCGCAUGGUUCAAUAGUGAAAGACGGUUUUGCUGUCACUUAUAGAUGGAUCCGCGCCGCAUUAGCUAGUUGGUAAGGUAACGGCUUACCAAGGCAACGAUGCGUAGCCGACCUGAGAGGGUGAUCGGCCAAACUGGAACUGAGACAAGGUCCAGACUCCUACGGGAGGCAGCAGUAGGGAAUCUUCCGCAAUGGGCGAAAGCCUGACGGAGCAACGCCGCGUGAGUGAUGAAGGUCUUCGGAUCGUAAAACUCUGUUAUUAGGGAAGAACAAAUGUGUAAGUAACUAUGCACGUCUUGACGGUACCUAAUCAGAAAGCCACGGCUAACUACGUG
This 497-nucleotide ribosomal RNA is filed under the name uncultured bacterium. RNAcentral describes it as "partial 16S ribosomal RNA". It matches the Rfam family "Bacterial small subunit ribosomal RNA", at positions 28 to 507 of the family's 1533-position model. The record is from RNAcentral.